GAAAACUUUACUGUGUAUUUUUACUUUCUCCCUUAGUCAUUCAAAAACCUACAUUUGCCCCCUUAAAAAAUAAAAAAUGUUUACUUCGGCCCCACCGUCAGUGUUCCGUUCGGAUUCUGUUUAUAUCAUAUUUUUUAUACCCAAAAUACCCUUGAAACCCUCAUCUUCCUCUUUCUUUCUCACCGACAUCCUCGACCGCACUGCUUUGCCCUACUUCACCGCCUCGCCCUCACCCUCACCCUCAUGCACUCCUCUGUCGGUGCCCAAAGAAGCGCUCUCGCCCUCCACCCUUGACCUCGCCCUCGCCUACCUUUCCGUCCAUACCUAGCACGAUCUCCUUCCUACAGUCGCCGAAAUAGAAAGGCGGCGAGGGUGUUGGAGGAGUAGAGAAGCAGGUAAAGGAAACGAAGUCGAAGCUGGGGUCAAGGGAAGCGCGGGCAAGGGAUGAGCAGGAUUGGGGAGAAAACGAAGAAGAUGAGAGCAAUUUGGUCAUUUUGUCACACCGUUUCCUCCUGUGAACAUUUUUUUUAUUUUUAAGGGAGCAAAGUGUAGGUUUUUAAAUGACAGAGGGAGGAAAGUGAAAAGCGAGUAUUGACAGAGAGGUUUUGUCACGCCCCGGAUUACUCGUUUUUUCGGGCACGCCGACAAAUCCGCCGUAUACAAAGAAAUUUCUCCUGUAUACGAAGCGAUAGCUGUACCUGAAAACAAAAUUCAAACUACAACUAGUAGUAUAGAGCUGCUAAACUGAACUGAAAAUAAAUAAACAUUAGGUUCACUAUACAUACAAAAUCUCUCAGAUACAACAUCUCUCGCUC
RNAcentral lists this long non-coding RNA (815 nucleotides) under Ananas comosus (pineapple). RNAcentral's name for it is "long non-coding RNA (ACOM_LNC011682)". Lineage: Eukaryota; Viridiplantae; Streptophyta; Magnoliopsida; Poales; Bromeliaceae. The record is from RNAcentral.